CACAUGCAAGUCGAGCGGAGACAGUGAGUAGCUUGCUAUGAGCUGUUUUAGCGGCGGACGGGUGAGUAACGCGUGAGCAACCUUUCCCAGACAGGGGAAUAACACACCGAAAGGUGUACUAAUACCGCAUAAGACCACGGGAUCACAUGGUUCUGGGGUAAAAGAUUUAUCGGUUUGGGGUGGGCUCGCGUCCGAUUAGGUAGUUGGUGAGGUAACGGCCCACCAAGCCGACGAUCGGUAGCCGACCUGAGAGGGUGAUCGGCCACAUUGGGACUGAGACACGGCCCAAACUCCUACGGGAGGCAGCAGUGGGGAAUAUUGGGCAAUGGGGGGAACCCUGACCCAGCAACGCCGCGUGGAGGAAGAAGGUUUUCGGAUCGUAAACUCCUGUCCUUGGAGACGAGUAGAAGACGGUAUCCAAGGAGGAAGCCCCGGCUAACUACGUGCCAGCAGCCGCGGUAAUACGUAGGGGGCAAGCGUUGUCCGGAAUAAUUGGGCGUAAAGGGCGCGUAGGCGGCUCGGUAAGUCUGGAGUGAAAGUCCUGCUUUUAAGGUGG
Molecule: ribosomal RNA, 556 nt
Filed under: uncultured bacterium
Lineage: Bacteria
Description: bacterial SSU rRNA
Rfam family: Bacterial small subunit ribosomal RNA
Source: RNAcentral